UAAUACUAGUCUCUCUUAGCACUCAAGUCUCAUUGUGAGAAACACCUUGAAAUAGAGCACCGCAGGUCGACACUUGUUGACCUGGACAUUCUGACCAUCAGAUCACACUGAAGGACGUCGCUAGUAAUUACAGUGGGAAAAACAGAUGACAAGAUGAAAAUAUCUACAAGCUUAUUUCUGAUUUGUAGUCGCUUUAACCAUGGCAUCGGAAGAGUUUAAUUCGACCAUGGAAACAGACAAACAACUUGGUUCUCGUCUAGCUGAAGAUCAGAGCAACUGUCAACAAGCCCUAAUGGUGUGUGGACCUAAAGUAGGCAGAUGCUGUCCACCAAAUCUGAGAUGCUAAGGCGGCUAUUGUGAACAUUAAAUUUAUUUAAAUGAAUUGAAGCUUUGACGUUCCUUGUUGACCAGAUUGUGCAAAACGGAGCCUAAAUUGUUAACGUAACGAUAUGUUUGGGUAAUUUUAUAAAAGUAAUCAAGUAGCUUCGUUUUAUUUUUUACCUAAAAUCAAAUGAAAGCAAAAAUUAAAACAAA
Physella acuta is the source of this 534-nucleotide long non-coding RNA. RefSeq lists it as uncharacterized. NCBI's taxonomy places the organism in Eukaryota, Metazoa, Mollusca, Gastropoda, Physidae. The record is from RefSeq and is a predicted model, not a curated record.